UUAUGUAUGUAUAAUAUGAAAUGCAUAGUAGAAGAUACGAGCUCGUAUACAUGUCAGAUAGCCACCCCUGGAAUCCCACGCUUGACGUCUAUUUCAGUAGUUUGCGGAGGCUAAAAUUGGCAACGACGAUCUAUGAAUAGCCAACAAAUAAUCACGUUUAUCGCGAAAACCAACUCUCCGACGAUAAAACAGACUCACGUCGAGUUUAACGAACUGCCGAGUGACAAGUCGUUAAACCUUGCAAGGAUAAUCCUUAGGGUAAAGAAGAGUGGCGGAUGCGCCAUGAGGAUCCUCCUUACCGUCGUAGAGGUUAUGUGGAAUAUAUUUUACAUCUGUCUAUUAUUAUCAUCAUCGGAUACUUAUUUCUUCAGUGUGGAACGGUUAUUGAGAUUGUGAUUACUCCUGUUUAUUCUUCCUAGUCACUAGAUGUUGGCAUUCAGUAGGAAGGACUGUACACACACGCACGCACGCACACACACAUGUAUAAAUUGUGAAAAGGCUCCAUAGAGCAGUAGCAUGGUGGCAGCUAUAUCACAGCAUGUGGGACCCAGAUUCAUGUUUGAUAGAAGCUAAUGUAAGGUUGGAUAUCCUGCUGAGCCACAAACUACGUCCACACUGAAUACUUGGCUGAGGAAUGAAAUGGCAUAAAAAUAAAGGUACAGGGACGACUGGAAAUACAUUAUGGGUGAUACAAGUAUAUGGGGGGUUGUCGCGACGUCAGGAUCAGGACAUAAAACGUAAAGACGUCGAGAGACCGAAGAUUCUUGUUUAUCGAGGAAAACAUUGCUGUCAUUUACAUAAACAAGCCUAGAUUCUGUUACGAUAAAUCUAGGCCUCGGCACUGGCCGAUAGAAUGGAAUAUUAAAUUCUGGCUAACACGCGUUACAUAUAUGUAUAAAUACACACAGCUAGGAUUCUCAUUUCUUCAUGCAAUAUAUA
This is a long non-coding RNA of Cephus cinctus (wheat stem sawfly), 939 nucleotides long. RefSeq lists it as uncharacterized. The record is from RefSeq and is a predicted model, not a curated record. Lineage: Eukaryota; Metazoa; Arthropoda; Insecta; Hymenoptera; Cephidae. The transcript is spliced from 4 exons.